This 564-nucleotide ribosomal RNA is filed under the name uncultured bacterium. Its description in RNAcentral is "partial 16S ribosomal RNA". It matches the Rfam family "Bacterial small subunit ribosomal RNA", at positions 355 to 1376 of the family's 1533-position model. The record is from RNAcentral.
UGGGGAAUAUUGGACAAUGGGCGCAAGCCUGAUCCAGCCAUGCCGCGUGAGUGAUGAAGGCCCUAGGGUUGUAAAGCUCUUUCACCGGUGAAGAUAAUGACGGUAACCGGAGAAGAAGCCCCGGCUAACUUCGUGCCAGCAGCCGCGGUAAUACGAAGGGGGCUAGCGUUGUUCGGAAUUACUGGGCGUAAAGCGCACGUAGGCGGACAUUUAAGUCAGGGGUGAAAUCCCGGGGCUCAACCCCGGAACUGCCUUUGAUACUGGGUGUCUAGAGUUCGAGAGAGGUGAGUGGAAUUCCGAGUGUAGAGGUGAAAUUCGUAGAUAUUCGGAGGAACACCAGUGGCGAAGGCGGCUCACUGGCUCGAUACUGACGCUGAGGUGCGAAAGCGUGGGGAGCAAAACAGGAUUAGGAUACCCUGGUAGUCCACGCCGUAAAACGAUGGAAGCCAGCUGUCGGCAAGUUUACUUGUCGGUGGCGCAGCUAACGCAUUAAGCUUCCCGCCUGGGGAGUACGGUCGCAAGAUUAAAACUUAAAUGAAUUGACGGGGUCAUAGCUGUUUCCUG